Non-coding RNA from Podarcis lilfordi (Lilford's wall lizard), 70 nucleotides. Lineage: Eukaryota; Metazoa; Chordata; Lepidosauria; Squamata; Lacertidae. The record is from the annotation of a GenBank genome assembly.
AGAAUAAGGCUCAGUGGUAGAGUAUCUGCUUUGCAUGCACAGGGUCCCAGAUUCAAUCCCUGGCAUUCCA